GAUGAACGCUGGCGGCGUGCCUAAUACAUGCAAGUCGAGCGAACGGACGAGAAGCUUGUUCUUCUGAUGUUAGCGGCGGACGGGCGAGUAACACGUGGAUCACCUACCUAUAAGACUGGGAUAACUUCGGGAAACAGGAGCUACUACCGGAUCAUAUUUUGAACCGCUUGGUUCAAAAGUGCUAGACGGUUUUGCUGUCACUUAUAGAUGGUUCCGCGCUGCAUUAGCUAGUUGGUAAGGUAACGGCUUACCAAGGCAACGAUGCAUAGCUGACCUGAGAGGAUGAUCAGCCACACUGGAACUGAGACACGGUCCAGACUCCUACGGGAGGCAGCAGUAGGGAAUCUUCCGCAAUGGGCGAAAGCCUGACGGAGCAACGCCGCGUGAGUGAUGAAGGUCUUCGGAUCGUAAAACUCUGUUAUUAGGGAAGAAAAGAUGUGUAUGUAACUGUGGACAUCUUGACGGUACUUAAUCAGAAAGCCACGGCUAACUACGUG
This 497-nucleotide ribosomal RNA is filed under the name uncultured bacterium. RNAcentral's name for it is "partial 16S ribosomal RNA". It matches the Rfam family "Bacterial small subunit ribosomal RNA", at positions 28 to 507 of the family's 1533-position model. The record is from RNAcentral.